UUACAUCUCUGCAUACUCUUAAUCGAGGAAGUCCCUUCGGGGACAGGAUGACAGGUGGUGCAUGGUUGUCGUCAGCUCGUGUCGUGAGAUGUUGGGUUAAGUCCCGCAACGAGCGCAACCCUUAUUGUUAGUUGCCAUCAUUAAGUUGGGCACUCUAGCGAGACUGCCCGGGUUAACCGGGAGGAAGGUGGGGAUGACGUCAAAUCAUCAUGCCCCUUAUGUCUAGGGCUACACACGUGCUACAAUGGUCGGUACAAUAAGACGCAAGCCCGCGAGGGGGAGCAAAACUGGAAAACCGAUCUCAGUUCGGAUUGUAGGCUGAAACUCGCCUACAUGAAGCUGGAGUUGCUAGUAAUCGCGAAUCAGCAUGUCGCGGUGAAUACGUUCCCGGGUCUUGUACACC
RNAcentral lists this ribosomal RNA (403 nucleotides) under uncultured bacterium. RNAcentral's name for it is "bacterial SSU rRNA". It matches the Rfam family "Bacterial small subunit ribosomal RNA", at positions 982 to 1387 of the family's 1533-position model. The record is from RNAcentral.